RNAcentral lists this ribosomal RNA (749 nucleotides) under uncultured fungus. RNAcentral's name for it is "eukaryotic LSU rRNA". The stretch from base 90 to 749 matches the Rfam family "Eukaryotic large subunit ribosomal RNA", at positions 1 to 679 of the family's 3401-position model. Lineage: Eukaryota; Fungi. The record is from RNAcentral.
GUCUGUGAGGACCCCAGUACACUGAGCUUUUUUAUGGCACGUAUUUGGUGGAGUCUAGACCCGNUCUUACCUAUAUUUUUUGUCAAGGUUGACCUCGGAUCAGGUAGGAAUACCCGCUGAACUUAAGCAUAUCAAUAAGCGGAGGAAAAGAAACCAACAGGGAUUGCCUCAGUAACGGCGAGUGAAGCGGCAACAGCUCAAAUUUGAAAUCUGGCCUUUUAGGUCCGAGUUGUAAUUUGUAGAGGAUGUUUUGGGUACCGCAGCCAUUUAAAUUUCUUGGAACAGAAUGUCAGAGAGGGUGAGAGUCCCGUCUGGAAUGGCAGUAGGGCCUGUGUAAAACUCCUUCGACGAGUCGAGUUGUUUGGGAAUGCAGCUCAAAAUGGGUGGUAAAUUUCAUCUAAAGCUAAAUAUUGGCCAGAGACCGAUAGCGCACAAGUAGAGUGAUCGAAAGAUGAAAAGCACUUUGAAAAGAGAGUUAAACAGUAUGUGAAAUUGUUGAAAGGGAAGCGCUUGCAACCAGACUUGAGUGUAAUGGUUCCCCCCUGCUUUUGCUUGGGCUACUCCGUCAUAUUCAGGCCAACAUCGGUUUUAAGGGUUGGUUAAAGGCCUUAGGAAUGUACCUUCUUCAGGGGAGACUUAUAGCCUAGGGCGUCAUGCAGCCUCCUAAGACCGAGGAAUGCGCUUCGGCGAGGAUGUUGGCGUAAUGGUUGUAAGCGACCCGUCUUGAAACACGGACCAAUGUGAUGCCU